Aethalodelphis obliquidens (Pacific white-sided dolphin) is the source of this 133-nucleotide long non-coding RNA. RefSeq lists it as uncharacterized. NCBI's taxonomy places the organism in Eukaryota, Metazoa, Chordata, Mammalia, Artiodactyla, Delphinidae. The record is from RefSeq and is a predicted model, not a curated record. The transcript has 3 exons.
GCCUUGAGGAGAUCAUUCUAAGUGAAAUAAACCAGUCACAAAAAGACAAGUACUGUGUGAUUCCAGUCAUAUGAGGCACCUAGAAGAGUCCAGUUCAUAGAGACAGAAAGUAUGUUGGUUGCCUAGGGCUGGG